AUUGAACGCUGGCGGAAUGCUUUACACAUGCAAGUCGAACGGCAGCACGGACUUCGGUCUGGUGGCGAGUGGCGAACGGGUGAGUAAUGUAUCGGAACGUGCCCAGUCGUGGGGGAUAACGUAGUGAAAAUUACGCUAAUACCGCAUACGAUCUAUGGAUGAAAGCGGGGGAUCGCAAGACCUCGCGCGAUUGGAGCGGCCGAUAUCAGAUUAGGUAGUUGGUGGGGUAAAGGCCCGCCAAGCCAACGAUCUGUAGCUGGUCUGAGAGGACGACCAGCCACACUGGAACUGAGACACGGUCCAGACUCCUACGGGAGGCAGCAGUGGGGAAUUUUGGACAAUGGGCGAAAGCCUGAUCCAGCCAUUCCGCGUGCAGGAUGAAGGCCCUCGGGUUGUAAACUGCUUUUGUACAGAACGAAAAGGUUUCUACUAAUACUAGGAGCUCAUGACGGUACUGUAAGAAUAAGCACCGGCUAACUACGUGCCAGCCGCCGCAAUAA
This 500-nucleotide ribosomal RNA is filed under the name uncultured bacterium. RNAcentral's name for it is "partial 16S ribosomal RNA". It matches the Rfam family "Bacterial small subunit ribosomal RNA", at positions 30 to 523 of the family's 1533-position model. The record is from RNAcentral.